GUGUUUUUUUCACUUCCAGUGUCACUUUUAUCUGUGGUCUUACUUUAUGUGGUGAAUCGUGCCCAAGGGGGGAACCUAAAUUAUUCUGCAAGACAAAGGGAAGAAAUAAAACUUUCUCAUGCUGAAUGAGAAGCUUAAAUGACUGUGUCAUGAGAAUGGGCUGCACACAUCAUUGGUUUGAAAACCUCACUUUUUUUUUUUAAAUUUUAAUCUAGAAUUUAGUCAGGAAAAAUAAUGGUCUGGAAAUAUAUAUUUAUAUUUCAAAAGCACCUAUUUCAAAGUAUAUUUGUGAGGACUAUUUUAGCUUGUGUCUUAUGUACUGUGUAUUGCUAAAGAAUUCUACUUUGGAGUAGGCUAAUCAGUGAAGUUUAGAAAGUUUCUCUGGAAUAUGCAGGUGAAUUUGAGUAAGGACAGUAAAUAAUGGAAAACUUGGAUCUUGUAUUGAGAUCCAAUUAAUUUUCAGAAGGUGUUUCUUAAGGAUAUCUUUGGCUUUUUUUUUUUAAUCUUAAAGCAAAAAAACUUUUGAAGGUGUAGAAGGGAUAUUUUAUACAGAAUAAACAAUGGCAUUUUAAUAGGCA
This is a non-coding RNA of Leptonychotes weddellii (Weddell seal), 578 nucleotides long. Lineage: Eukaryota; Metazoa; Chordata; Mammalia; Carnivora; Phocidae. The record is from RefSeq and is a predicted model, not a curated record.